This 249-nucleotide long non-coding RNA is filed under the name Lathyrus oleraceus (garden pea). RNAcentral describes it as "Pisum sativum (pea) long non-coding RNA (PSAT_LNC030317)". The record is from RNAcentral. Lineage: Eukaryota; Viridiplantae; Streptophyta; Magnoliopsida; Fabales; Fabaceae.
AGGGUUUGCGUGAGAUGAAAGUGUGUGAGUCAGAUUGAAUUUUUCAGAGCUGCCUGGGGGUUGCUCUGAGUUCUCUGUCAGGUUUCUCUUCAGGUUUUGUCCAGGGUUUUGUUUCAAGGAAACCUCAGAGUAUUUUGCUUCUCUUCCUUUUUCUGUCUGAUCUCCCUCUUUUAUAACCUGAUUUUUAUGGCUUUGUGGGCUCAAAUGAGAGAGGUCCAAGUCCAAGUUUUUUCUAUUAUAUAUUUUUUU